AAGUCGUAACAAGGUUUCCGUAGGUGAACCUGCGGAAGGAUCAUUAUCGAGUGAGGGUCCUCUGGGCCCCAUCUCCAACCCGUGUCCAUCUACCAUGUUGCUUCGGCGGGCCCGUCUUCAACCAGACCGCUGGAGUGUCUACCCUCUGGCCCGCGCCCGUCAGUCGCCCCCACCAACCCUCCUCACAGUGAUGUCUCAGCCUGGCAGAACAAUUAAAACUUUCAACAACGGAUCUCUUGGUUCUGGCAUCGAUGAAGAACGCAGCGAAAUGCGAUAAGUAAUGCGAAUUGCAGAAUUCCGUGAGUCAUCGAAUCUUUGAACGCACAUUGCGCCCUCUGGUAUUCCGGAGGGCAUGCCUGUUCGAGCGUCAUCGUCAACCCUCAAGCCCCCGGCUUGCUGUUGGGUCCCGCCGUCGAGAUAGACGGGCGGACCCGAAAGAUAAUGGCAGAGCCCGCGGGGACCCUGGAUGCAACGAGCCCAGCAGCACGCGUCUUGGGGCUCUUAGGGCCUGUCCGCCCCCAUAUUCUCCUUCAGAUUGACCUCGGAUCAGGUAGGGAUACCCGCUGAACUUAAGCAUAUCAAUAAGCGGAGGAAAAGAAACCAACAGGGAUUGCCUCAGUAACGGCGAGUGAAGCGGCAAUAGCUCAAAUUUGAAAUCUGGUCCCGCCCGGGGCCCGAGUUGUAAUUUGUAGAGGACGCUUCGGGCAAGGCCGCGGUCUAAUUCGCUUGGAACAGCGAGUCAGAGAGGGUGAGAAUCCCGUCCGGGACCGCGAGCGGCGCCCGUGUGAAGCUCCUUCGACGAGUCGAGUUGUUUGGGAAUGCAGCUCUAAAUGGGUGGUAAAUUUCAUCUAAAGCUAAAUAUUGGCCAGAGACCGAUAGCGCACAAGUAGAGUGAUCGAAAGAUGAAAAGCACUUUGAAAAGAGAGUUAAACAGUAUGUGAAAUUGUUGAAAGGGAAGCGCUUGCAAUCAGACUUGCGUGUGGCGGCUCCCCCGGUCUCUCCGGACCGGGUCACUCCGUCAUAUCCAGGCCAACAUCGGUUCGGGUGGUCGGUCAAAGACCCCGGGAAUGUAUCUACCUCCGGGUCGACUUAUAGCCCGGGGUGCAAUGCGGCCCACCCGGACCGAGGAACGCGCUCCGGCUCGGAUGUUGGCGUAAUGGUUGCAAGCGGCC
Molecule: ribosomal RNA, 1172 nt
Filed under: uncultured fungus
Lineage: Eukaryota; Fungi
Description: eukaryotic LSU rRNA
Rfam family: Eukaryotic large subunit ribosomal RNA (bases 537-1172)
Source: RNAcentral